RNAcentral lists this long non-coding RNA (1981 nucleotides) under Lynx pardinus (Iberian lynx). Lineage: Eukaryota; Metazoa; Chordata; Mammalia; Carnivora; Felidae. The record is from RNAcentral.
UGUUUUGUGUGAAACAAUGCUAAACCUAUUCUCAGGUUGGCUUAAUCAACCUCUUCAAUGGUGGGCCCAGAGGAGGCACCACCAGAGGGGGCAGCCCCACCACCAGGGAAGCCUCCGGGCAUUCCUCCAGGCAUGCGUCCUGCACUCUGGUACAGCUUUGUAAUGAUGGGAUUGCAGACCUUCUCCAGCUCUUUCUGCUGAUGUUCAAAUUCUUCCUUUUCUGCAGUCUGGUUCUUAUCCAGCCAGUUGAUGAUUUCAUUACACUUAUCCAGAAUCUUCUGUUUGUCCGCAUUAUUGAUUUUACCCUGAAGCUUUUCAUCUUCAACAGUUGCUUUCAUGUUGAAUGCGUAAGAUUCAAGUGAAUUCUUGGAGGACACCUUGUCUCGCUGCUUCUCAUCUUCAGCUUUGUACUUCUCAGCUUCCUGGACCAUGAGCUCAAUGUCUUCCUUGCUCAAGUGACCUUUGUUGUUUGUGAUGGUGAUCUUAUUCUCUUUUCCUGUCCUCUUAUCCACAGCAGAGACACUGAGAAUGCCAUUAGCAUCAAUAUCAAAGGUGACCUCAAUCUGAGGAACGCCAUGGGAGGCAGUACGUAUGCCUGUGAGUUCAAACUUGCCAAGUAGGUUGUUAUCCUUGGUCAUGGCAGGCUCACCUUCAUAAACCUGAAUGAGCACACCAGGCUGGUUGUCAGAGUAGGUAGUGAAGGUUUGGGUCUGUUUAGUAGGAAUGGUAGAAUUGUGCUUGAUGAGAACAGUCAUGACUCCACCAGCAGUUUCAAUGCCAAGAGAAAGGGGAGUGACCUCCAACAGCAGCAAAUCUUGAGCAUUUUCAGAUUUGUCUCCGGGAAGGAUGGCUGCCUGGACAGCUGCACCAUAAGCGACAGUUUCAUCAGGGUUGAUGCUCUUAUUCAGUUCCUUCCCAUUGAAAAAGUCUUGUAGAAGUUUCUGAAUCUUGGGGAUACGUGUAGAACCACCCACCAAGACAAUAUCGUGGAUCUGAGACUUGUCUAGCUUGGCAUCCUGAAGAGCUUUCUCUACAGGGUCCAGGGUGCGACACAACAGGUCAGUAUUUAAUUCUUCAAACCAGGCAUGAGUAAUAGAGGUACAGAAGUUGAUUCCUUCAUAUAGAGAACCAAUCUCGAUACUGGCCUAGGUGCUGGAAGAAAGUGUAUGCUUGGCAUGCUUGCAAGAGGUACAGAGGCGACGGACUGCCUUCUUGUUCUCACUGAUGUCCUUCUUAUGUUUGCGCUUGAACUCUGCAAUAAAAUGGUUUACCAUUCGGUUGUCAAAGUCUUCUCCACCUAAGUGGGUGUCUCCAGCAGUAGCUUUGACCUCAAAGAUCCCAUCUUCGAUAGUGAGGAUUGACACAUCAAAAGUGCCACCUCCCAAGUCAAAGAUCAGCACAUUCCUUUCGGCUCCAACCUUUUUCUCUAAGCCAUAAGCAAUAGCAGCAGCAGUUGGCUGCUGUACUUUGAUGAUUCAAAGUACAUUAAGACCAGCAAUAGUUCCAGCAUCUUUGGUAGCCUGACGCUGAGCAUUGUUAAAAUAGGCAGGUACUGUGACUACAGCAUUGGUAACAGUCUUCCCAAGGUAAGCCUCUGCGAUUUCCUUUAUCUUUGUCAAAACCAUAGAAGACACCUCCUCUGGAUAGAAACUUUUGGUCUCUCCCUUGUAUUCUACUUGGACCUUGGGCCUGCCAGCAUCAUUCACCACCAUGAGGGGCCAGUGCUUCAUAUCAGAUUGGACAACAGCAUCGUCAAAUCCACACCCAAUCAGGCGUUUGGCAUCAAAAACUGUGUUGGUGGGGUUCAUUGCAACUUGAUUCUUUGCAGCAUCACCAAUCAAUCGUUCAGUGUCAGUAAAGGCUACAUAACUUGGGGUGGUUCGGUUUCCCUGAUCGUUGGCAAUUAUUUCCACUUUCCUGUGCUAGAAGGCACCCACACAAGAGUAGGUGGUGCCAAGACCAAUGCCAACUGCAGGUCCCU